ACCUCCCGCUAGGCGGGAGGUUCAAAAAAGUAUAACGCUUUACACAGGUUAUAAAAAUUUCUUUUGAUUUACGAGCAUUUGGCUGCGGUCUGGCAACUGCAACCAUGAAGCAAAUCAAAA
This 120-nucleotide small RNA is filed under the name uncultured Desulfovibrio sp. Its description in RNAcentral is "STnc490 Hfq binding RNA". It matches the Rfam family "STnc490 Hfq binding RNA". The record is from RNAcentral. Lineage: Bacteria; Pseudomonadati; Thermodesulfobacteriota; Desulfovibrionia; Desulfovibrionales; Desulfovibrionaceae.